RNAcentral lists this ribosomal RNA (47 nucleotides) under Colletotrichum circinans. Its description in RNAcentral is "partial 28S ribosomal RNA". RNAcentral also lists the same sequence under 1 other name. The record is from RNAcentral. Lineage: Eukaryota; Fungi; Ascomycota; Sordariomycetes; Glomerellales; Glomerellaceae.
UCUGACCUCAAAUCAGGUAGGACUACCCGCUGAACUUAAGCAUAUCA